This 256-nucleotide unclassified non-coding RNA is filed under the name Hevea brasiliensis (rubber tree). Lineage: Eukaryota; Viridiplantae; Streptophyta; Magnoliopsida; Malpighiales; Euphorbiaceae. The record is from RNAcentral.
UUAAAAAAAAAAAAAAAACAGUUAAAUAGUGCUAAACACAAACCCAAAUGCAGCGAUUUCUAAAAAGCUGUGUUAUCCAAAGAAGCUUCGUCAACGUUUGAACAAUGAAGAGAACAGCUUUGCGUAUCUGCUGAGUAGUGGGUCAAAGCAAAAGGAAUGAAGAAGAAGGAGGUUGGAUCAAGGAAAUGGAAUCUCUCUCGUGCGGCUAGGGCACAAAAUAGAAGAGGAAACGCUAUUUAGGAAUUGGUGAAAAUGU